This 1447-nucleotide long non-coding RNA is filed under the name Carassius auratus (goldfish). RNAcentral's name for it is "lncRNA (ENSCARG00000050201.1)". Lineage: Eukaryota; Metazoa; Chordata; Actinopteri; Cypriniformes; Cyprinidae. The record is from RNAcentral.
AUGAGUAAUGUUUUAUUUUAUUUAUUUAUUUAUCUUACAGAUGUAUUAAUCUGUUGUCAAGCUGCAGUUUCAGAUCUACUGACUGAUUUGGGAUCAAAUGUGAUCAUAAACUGUGAUCUUGAUGAAAAUGAGGUUUAUUGGAUUUUACUGAAAACAGCAGAUCCUCCGACACUGAUUCUACGAACAUCUCCAACACCAAUACCUCCUCAUUACUAUAAUAAAACAUUCAGAAACAAAUAUUCAGUGCAGUUUAAACAUCAUCUGGUUAUUAAUAAUGUGACAGCUGAUGAAUUAGGAGUUUAUUACUGUAUGAACACACGCACUCCUCCAAAACUCAGCAACAGCACCAGAAUAUACUUCACCGAACCGUUUCAUCAAACUGAGUGUCACAAUCACACAGUUCUGCAGAUUAUUGAUCAGAAUCAGACACAGUGGAAGAUUAUUAGCAUCAUAUCUGCUCUGAUGAAUGGACUUCUGAUCAUUGUGCUGAUUGUUGAGUUAUUUUCAGCCAUCUGUAAAAAUAUCACUAUGAUGGUUUCUCCGUAUGCUAAAGUUAAUAAAACAUGUAAAUAUUCAUUAUUUAAGCUUUCGACUUCUUUUUUUUUUUUUUUUUAGAAACUUUUUUAAAUACAGAAUCUAAUAAACUGCUCUAUUUCUAGGUUUAUUGAAAUGUUCUGCAGAACAAUCCCGACUCGAAGCUGAUCAGCAGCAGACACAAGUUACAGAACAACAUCAGGAUCAUUUACACUUCAAAACAUGUGAAUCCAUCCUCAUUACUAAAAUUAAUUUCUGUCUUGAUAAUUAUUGAGGAUUCUUGCUGAUCUGUAAAUUAGUGUUUCAUAACUCUUCAUUAUGAUUCAUAUUUGUUCAAAUGCAGCUGAACACAUUGCUCUUUCAGGAUUUCAUGUAGAUCUUUAAGAGAUAAUAUUUGCUCCAACCAAAUCAACAGCACCUACCUUCAAUGAUGAAACUUAUUUCUUCUGCUUUUAAAGAAUAGUUGGAAGUCAUGAUAUUAAUGUCUAUUAGUUUCUUGAACUAACAGCUAUACAGGUAGUUGUAUAUUUUUCUUCUUGUAAAAGCCUUUGUAUUUUAGUGGGUCUCAUAAAUCUAUGAUCAUAUUUUGUCCCUCCUGCUUCAGAUUUAAUUUGUGUUCAGGAAAUUGAUGUUUCCUAGUUGGUCUCUUUGUCAUUUGGAAGACUUUGUUUUGGAAUCGCUGUAUCCAUCUUUAUCUGCUGAAAAGUGUUAGUCGACAUGGACAUUUCUUUUUCUACCACUUUGACCUCGAAAGAAAAGUGCAAAUUAAUUAUAUAUAUAUUUUUUAGGCCUGAUUGGUUGAGUUUUUCAUGCUGUUGGACCAAGAAGAGGCUAGAUGUUAUAUAUAAAUAACUGUUUAAUAUUUUGUUCGUUUAUGAUUUGUUUAGUAUUCAGUUAAUUGACAAUAAUAUAA